UGGGGAAUAUUGGACAAUGGGGGCAACCCUGAUCCAGCCAUGCCGCGUGUGUGAAGAAGGCCCUCGGGUUGUAAAGCACUUUCAGCGAGGAAGAACGCCUAGCGGUUAAUACCCGCUAGGAAAGACAUCACUCGCAGAAGAAGCACCGGCUAACUCCGUGCCAGCAGCCGCGGUAAUACGGAGGGUGCAAGCGUUAAUCGGAAUUACUGGGCGUAAAGCGCGCGUAGGUGGCUUGAUAAGCCGGUUGUGAAAGCCCCGGGCUCAACCUGGGAACGGCAUCCGGAACUGUCAAGCUAGAGUGCAGGAGAGGAAGGUAGAAUUCCCGGUGUAGCGGUGAAAUGCGUAGAGAU
RNAcentral lists this ribosomal RNA (350 nucleotides) under uncultured bacterium. RNAcentral describes it as "bacterial SSU rRNA". It matches the Rfam family "Bacterial small subunit ribosomal RNA", at positions 355 to 697 of the family's 1533-position model. The record is from RNAcentral.